UUUCAGUCAGUUCCAGCCCCCUAUUAGUGGACUGCACUUGCAGUCAGGUCACAAGAAAAUUGUACUAACAGUUUGCAUUCUGUAAUCAUCCAAAAGGAAACAAAUUCUUGUGGUUCCAAGUUGGACAUCAUGCAUCUACAGACUCACAACUUGUGAUCCAGCACAACAUUGGAGUCAAAACAGAAGUGCUAAAGAAUUGCUCAAAUUUACAAUCUGACGAACACCAAUCUUUCAGCUGCAGGUAGGAGGAAAGGAGUGUCGAUCCCGCGGCCUCAUUCACUGCGGUGAUCAGAUGGAACUUCCUCUGGUGCGUCUGAAGGGUCCUCUUGUGGUUCCAAGUUGGACAUCAUGCAUCUACAGAUUCAUAACUUGUGAUCCAGCACAACACAGGAGUCAAAACAGAAGUGCUAGAGAAUUGCUCAAAUUUACAGUGUGACGAACACCAAUCUUUCAGCUGCAGGUAGGAGGAAAGGAAUGUCAAUCCCGUGGCCUCAUUCACUGCGGUGAUCAGAUGAAACUUCCUCUGGCGCGUCUGAAGGGUCCUCUGCUCUGCUGCAAC
RNAcentral lists this long non-coding RNA (559 nucleotides) under Triticum aestivum (bread wheat). Its description in RNAcentral is "long non-coding RNA (TAES_LNC027800)". Lineage: Eukaryota; Viridiplantae; Streptophyta; Magnoliopsida; Poales; Poaceae. The record is from RNAcentral.